Molecule: long non-coding RNA, 1425 nt
Organism: Artibeus jamaicensis (Jamaican fruit-eating bat)
Lineage: Eukaryota; Metazoa; Chordata; Mammalia; Chiroptera; Phyllostomidae
Exons: 4
Source: RefSeq, a predicted model, not a curated record
UGGAAUGCAUUUCUUUCUAGAGCUUUCUCUGUUUAAACCUCUGUGUUCCUGCUCACACAAGCGAGAAUCAGAGUGAUUGACACACGACACGACCUCUGAGGGACACUCCAAUGCAGGCUCCUUGUGUUUCGGGGCCCAGACAGGAUCUCCCAGUCCCACCAGGAUGUCCCUGGAUCCAGGAUCCUUAGCUGCACUCUCUUAUUUCAGAAUGUGAUGUGUCUUCUGGGGUGACAUCAAAAUAUACCCAGUCAGGCUGCCAGCACCCUUGAAGGUCUUUAGGAGUGGCAAGCGCCCUCCUCCCUACCCAGGCAUCGGCGAUGGCACAAGAAGUGCCGGUGACUCCAGCGGCAGUGGCCCCUUCCUCAGUGGGUCAAGCUCGCCAGGUGCUUCUCUGAGCAUUGGGCGUUCACUCCUGGGCUCAGUCCCCUCGAAACCCCACAGGUCACCUGCAGACGAGAACACCCCAUCUUACAGAAUGUUUUCCGAUGUCAAAUUAUUAUUUAACUGCAGCCUUCAAGACGCGUGUCCUUCACGGUCCCAGCUCAUGCAAAGUUAAUGGCACUGGAUAAAUGCACAAAACACUGCCGGCGGGUAUUCCCGCAUCGAGCCGCGAUCCAGGCCACAUUCUCACGAACACACGCCCCCGGGCAGGGCAGAACAAAGUCUGCUGUCACCAGGAUCUAAUCCAGGAAGACUGUCAUUGGGCCAGAACGAAGCUCCGUGCGCAUCCACAGGCCCCCCUUCUCUCCUCCCACAGCCCCCACCCCAGCUCCUGGCGAGAGGCAAGGAUGUUUCAUGGUUAUGCUUCGUCCCUUCAGUUAGAUUCCAAGAGCCUGAGGGACUCGUCCCUUGUCUUCGCACAGAGUAGGUGCUUAGUGACCAGCUCAUCUUGGCGACGGAGCUCGCUCUCCCCCUGGGGGUGCUCCGCCCCUUUGCUGCUGGUCUGGCCACUGAGAGGUGCGUGAGAUGAUUGGAAGAGAAACUCGGAUGCCUGGGCUGCCCUCUGCGCUCCCACUAGGAAGACCCACACCCAGGGUGCCCCGUUGCCAGCCCGAUGCUGCGUGGACCUCCUGUUGAAUUCCGUUUGAUUUAGGGGAGACAAGGACUCCUGCGGUCUUACAUCGUAACGAGAAUGCGGACCAUUCAGGGACACUUUGUGGUUUCCCAGCUCAUGCCGACACGGUGAGGACAUCGCGGUGACAGCAUCGGCGGUGCAGACGGUGGGGACGGGGAGACACGCUCUGACACGCGUGGGCCUGCACCAGCUGCUGGUGGACAAGGAGCAGGCCCCACACCAGCCGCGACGACGCAGCCGCCCUUGUGCCUGGGAAUCCACACAUUCAACCCCCUCUCGUUGGGAGAACAUGAAAGCUCAAGAUAAUCCCCUAAUCCUGUGGCAUUUAAAAAAAAGUCUUGUUUAUUCCA